CAAGGACUUCAGCCCCACUGAGUCCCUUUCUAGGAAAACCACGUCUUGUAGCCAUGCGAUAAUAGCUCAGCUUGCAUGAGACAUGGGGGCCAAAAAACCUGGCCCCAGGGAGCCAGAGUGCGGCCACCUGGUCUGCUCUGAGAAGGACUGUGGCCAGAGGAGAGGGCCUGGAUGCCUUGCACCAGAAAUGAGGGAGAGAGAGAACCAAGGGGAUGUGGAAGCCUUCAGAUGGGUCUGGGGACAUGUGCUGGGUGGGACACCCCCAUUCCACACUCAGUGCUAAUGCCUUACACCCACUACCUCUGGGCAGCUAAGUGAGGUAGCCCUUCUUAUGCCUCUCCUCUCCAGUGAGUGGGUCCUACAACCAGUGCUUGAGAGCACGGCCUCGGGACCAGAGCACCUGCCUUUCCAUCCAGUCCCUGCUUCUCAUGAGGAAGGUGUCCUUGGGGUGACACUACGAAAAGAGAUCAUCUGUAAAGGAGGUAAUAGGGUGGCCUGUGAUAUCUAUGUUCCUGUUACCAUGAAGAGAUAAUAUGAAGUUUUGACCUCCAGGGAGAAAGAGAAGAGAGACAUUUGAAAUACUCUUCACUUCAUCCUAAAGAGGGAGAGAAAAUCUUUUUCUGUCUGGUGUUUUUCAAAAUUUUGAUGAUGGACUCACAUCAAGGAUGAAGAGCUUUGAUGUCAUUUGAACACCACCACCAUCACCACCACCAGCAUCAACAAACAAACAAGCAAACAAGCGUGAACUCAGGAGCCCUGUGGCCCAGCCUCCAGUCCAUUUCCUCACUGUGAUCUGGCUAAGUCACCUCCCCUCCACCUCAGUUCAGUCACCUACACAACAGGAAUGGUGGCUCCUGGCGUGAAAAGUUCUUAGGAGCAUUCAGCAUGAUGCUGUGUGGAGCACUUGGAAACUGCGUGUGCAUCACCUCAUAUUUCUGGCCACAGGUCAUUCAGACAUCUGCCCUUUGCCCUGGAGGAGAACCACUAGGGACUUGUGCCCAUAAGCACCAAUUCUGGCUUUUACCCUACCCAUCCUUUGCCAUCCCAAACUAUGCCAUCAACAAAUUCUAGAAAUCAAGUUAGAAAUGCUGUUCCCACGAGGGUCUCUGUGGUCUCUCAGAACAACAAUCAGCUGGCCCUGCUGGGCAGAUGUUGCCCAAUCCUAACCCACACUUAGCUAUCAACUUAAUCAUUCUCAACUAAAAACACCUACCUGAACACUUUUAGGGGUUAAGAAUAGUAUAAUCUCACUUAGCCAUUUGCAUUUUUUCUUCUUUUUACAAAAAGAAAUUUAUCUUUUUUUUUUUUUGAGACGGAGUCUUGCUCUGUUGCCCAGGUUGGAGUGCAGUGGCGCAAUCUUGGCUCACUGCAAGCUCCGCCUCCUGGGUUAGCGCCAUUCUCCUGCCUCAGCCUCCCGAGUAGCUGGGACUACAGGUGCCUGCCACCACGCCUGGCUAAUUUUUUUGUAUUUUUAGUAGAGACGGGGUUUCACCGUGUUAGUCAGGAUCGUCUUGAUCUCCUGACAUCGUGAUUCGCCCUCCUCAGCCUCCCAAAGUGCUGGGAUUACAGGCGUGAGCCACUGCGCUCUGCCAAGAAUAGUAUAAUCUCACUUAGCCAUUUGUAUUUUUUCUUCUUUUUACAAAAAGAAAUUUAUCUCAUUAUUAUGUUUAAUCAGUUUCUUGAGGUAUAACUUAAGUGUGCUAAAAUUUGCUCUUUUUAGUGUACAGGUCUAGGAUUUUUGAGAAACACAUAUUCAUAUGUGACCACCCCCAUGAUCAACAUAUGGAACAGUCAUUUGCCACCCAAAAUUACCUUGUGCCCUUUUGUUGUCAGACUCUUCUUUCUCCAGACCCUGGCAACCACUGAUGGAUUUUCUGUCCCUAUAGUUUUGCCUUUUCCAGAAUGUUCUGCAAAUGUAAUCAUUUAGUAUGUAGCCUUUUAAGUCUGAUUUCUUUCACUCUGCAUAAUGCAUUUGAGAUUCACCCACGUUGUUACCUGUUACAAUGGUUUGUUCCUUUUUAUUGCGGAGUAAUAUUCCCUUGCAUGGAUGUACCACAGUUUGGGUAACCAUUCAACAGUCAAAUGAGAUUGAAUUUGUUUCCAUUUUUUGGUGAUUAUAAAUACAGCUAUAAACAUUUGUGAAAGUGUUUUGUAUGUACAUACAUUUUUCUUAGACAUUUGGUUUUAAGAGAUGUAUUUAGGUUUAGUUCCAGAUGAACAAUGAGAGACUGAAAGACUUAAGGGACCCCUGAGAAGAGCAGAGGGAAUAUUCCCUGAGGCAGCCAUCAGUCAGACCUGGCCCUGUCAUUUAAAUGUGGGCUAGUGGUAGCAAGAUGCUGUUAUUAUUUUCACCAAGGACAUUUUUUGAGUAGCAAUUAAAAUGAAGUCUAUUUCUCUGAGCCCCUGGAGAAGAACAUAAGCACAUGAUGGUAACCAUCAAUUUAGUGGGCCUAACGUUAUCUAGGUGGUUAAUGUUUCCAUGGCUUCUGGCAAUUCCCAGUGUAAGUCACCUGUGUAUACUGGGUGGAUGCUUCUUUAAAUUAAAGAUAAGCUGUUCAGCUUAAUAACAGCUAAGGGAGAAUAUAGAGCCCGUGGGUGAACUGUUUACUAACAAGCUUCUUCAGGGUCAUUCAACUUGAAUGAACUCUCUUUUAGGCUAACUUGGUUUGUGGAGGGAAUGCAUGUUUCUUAGUUAAAAUAGUUACAUUGGAAUCCCAACUGUGCACAGGACUUCAAGGGUAAUUAUGAACCCCCACUGCAGAUUUCAGGCUUAGCACCAAUUCUCCUUGCUUUCUACUUGUAUCCAUCAAAAACAGAAGUUACGAUGGAGUUACAGCUAUACUUGUAAGGGUCUCAGUGAACCUCUCCCACUAUUCUGCCUUAUCACCUUUGGGUUCCUGUGUUCUCUACCCCCUCCCCACUGCAUGUUUUCAUUCAGCCAGGAAACAUUUACUGCCUGCCUGGUAUCAAGCCCUUGCAUGAGGGUGGGAGCUCAUAAAGAUGACUACACUAGAGAAUCAUUUGACCUUUCUCAUGUAGACCUCAACAUGAAUGAGUUUCAAUGCUGAUAGGGCAAUCAUUACCUUCAGACAAAUUUUCAGGAACAGCCAAGACUAGAGAAUGUAUGGCUAAAACACAGCACUAUGCAUUUAUAAUAGUCAUGGGUUCUCCUGUUUUAAUUGUACAUGGAGAAUAUUUCAGCUUUAUUUGUAUGGGCUGCUCUUAUGUAAAACAUUAUUUCAAUGAGGAAAUGUGUUUGGGGUUCUAAAUGACUAACUUACAAACACAACUUUGAAUAAAGUCCAUGAAUAAUUUGAGGAUUUAUGUCUAUCAAUGGCUGAUUUACCAGAUUGUUGGCUUUGGGUUUAUUGGUAUCCAUGUUGAGAGGCAUCAGAUCAUCCAAGGUUUAAGUUUCGUCCUGACCACUGACUAGCAUUGAGACCUUAAUGGGAUUAAUAACAAUGAUAAUGAUAGUGACAAGAGCUAGCUUUUCAUGAGCACAGUGGCUAAGAGAGUUAGCAUCAGUUCUAGCUGCUUUCAUUGACAUAGAUGUAAAUGGGGAGGGAAACCAUGACUAGACUCAAAUCUCUGCUCUAACGUCUGAUACCUGAAUAUCACUUUGCAAGCCACGUCAUCUCUCUAAGUUGUAGCUCUUUGUCUGAAAAAUGUGGAUAGUUAAUACAUUAUAAAUAAAUUAUUAUUACAUUAAUACACAGAAAUUCAUAAUGCUAUUGUGGGGAUUACAUGAGAUGAUGGAAGUAUUUAAUCUAGUGUCUUGUAUAUGGCAAAUAAAAAAUAAAUAUUCACUGCUGUUAAU
This 3817-nucleotide long non-coding RNA is filed under the name Homo sapiens (human). Its description in RNAcentral is "HSALNT0200376". The record is from RNAcentral. Lineage: Eukaryota; Metazoa; Chordata; Mammalia; Primates; Hominidae.